CUUGGUCAUUUAGAGGAAGUAAAAGUCGUAACAAGGUUUCCGUAGGUGAACCUGCGGAAGGAUCAUUCAUAAUAAGUGUUUUAUGGCACUUUUUAAAUCCAUAUCCACCUUGUGUGCAAUGUCAGUCGAUCUUCUUCAUGGAGAUCGACCAAACAUCAACCUUUAUUUUUUAACUCUUUGUCUGAAAAAUAUUAUGAAUAAACAAUUCAAAAUACAACUUUCAACAACGGAUCUCUUGGCUCUCGCAUCGAUGAAGAACGCAGCGAAAUGCGAUACGUAAUGUGAAUUGCAGAAUUCAGUGAAUCAUCGAAUCUUUGAACGCAUAUUGCGCUCUUUGGUAUUCCGAAGAGCAUGCUUGUUUGAGUAUCAGUAAACACCUCAAAGCUUUUGGAUUUUUUAAUCGAAAAGCUUUGGACUUGAGCAAUCCCAACACCAAUCUUUUUGAGAUCGGUGGCGGGUUGCUUGAAAUGCAGGUGCAGCUGGACAUUCUCCUGAGCUAAAAGCAUAUUCAUUUAAUCCCGUCAAACGGAUUAUUACUUUUGCUGCAGCUAACAUAAAGGGAGUUUGACCGUAUUGGCUGACUGAUGCAGGAUUUCACAAGGGUCGGCAACGAUUCUUGUUAAACUCGAUCUCAAAUCAAGUAAGACUACCCGCUGAACUUAAGCAUAUCAAUAAGCGGAGGA
This 683-nucleotide ribosomal RNA is filed under the name uncultured fungus. RNAcentral describes it as "eukaryotic LSU rRNA". The stretch from base 216 to 369 matches the Rfam family "5.8S ribosomal RNA". The record is from RNAcentral. Lineage: Eukaryota; Fungi.